GUCUGUGGCCAUGCCUCCCUGAGCGCGCCAGAUCCCGUCUGAUCUCGGAAGCUGAGCAGGGUCGGGCCUGGUUAGUGCUUGGAUGGGAGACCACCUAGGAAGACCAGGUGCUGUAGGCA
Molecule: ribosomal RNA, 119 nt
Filed under: Pteropus alecto (black flying fox)
Lineage: Eukaryota; Metazoa; Chordata; Mammalia; Chiroptera; Pteropodidae
Source: RNAcentral